This 253-nucleotide ribosomal RNA is filed under the name uncultured bacterium. Its description in RNAcentral is "partial 16S ribosomal RNA". It matches the Rfam family "Bacterial small subunit ribosomal RNA", at positions 524 to 776 of the family's 1533-position model. The record is from RNAcentral.
UACGGAGGAUCCAAGCGUUAUCCGGAUUUAUUGGGUUUAAAGGGUGCGUAGGCGGCGUGCUAAGUCAGUGGUGAAAGACGAUGGCUCAACCAUCGCAGUGCCGUUGAUACUGGCGCGCUUGAAUGCGGAUGAGGUAGGCGGAAUGUGGCAAGUAGCGGUGAAAUGCAUAGAUAUGCCACAGAACACCGAUUGCGAAGGCAGCUUACCAAGGCGCGAUUGACGCUGAUGCACGAAAGCGUGGGGAUCGAACAGG